Molecule: ribosomal RNA, 1613 nt
Filed under: Streptomyces albidoflavus
Lineage: Bacteria; Bacillati; Actinomycetota; Actinomycetes; Kitasatosporales; Streptomycetaceae
Description: partial 23S ribosomal RNA
Rfam family: Bacterial large subunit ribosomal RNA
Source: RNAcentral
GGCCAAGUUUUUAAGGGCGCACGGUGGAUGCCUUGGCACCAGGAACCGAUGAAGGACGUGGGAGGCCACGAUAGUCCCCGGGGAGUCGUCAACCAGGCUUUGAUCCGGGGGUUUCCGAAUGGGGAAACCCGGCAGUCGUCAUGGGCUGUCACCCGCUGCUGAACUCAUAGGCAGUGUGGAGGGAACGCGGGGAAGUGAAACAUCUCAGUACCCGCAGGAAGAGAAAACAACCGUGAUUCCGGGAGUAGUGGCGAGCGAAACUGGAUGAGGCCAAACCGUAUGUGUGUGAUACCCGGCAGGGGUUGCGCAUGCGGGGUUGUGGGAUCUCUCUUCUACGGUCUGCCGGCCGUGGGACGAGUCAGAAACCGUUGAUGUAGGCGAAGGACAUGCGAAAGGUCCGGCGUAGAGGGUAAGACCCCCGUAGUCGAAACAUCAGCGGCUCGUUUGAGAGACACCCAAGUAGCACGGGGCCCGAGAAAUCCCGUGUGAAUCUGGCGGGACCACCCGCUAAGCCUAAAUAUUCCCUGGUGACCGAUAGCGGAUAGUACCGUGAGGGAAUGGUGAAAAGUACCGCGGGAGCGGAGUGAAAUAGUACCUGAAACCGUGUGCCUACAAGCCGUGGGAGCGUCGCGCAUCGAGCUUGCUCGGUGCGUCGUGACUGCGUGCCUUUUGAAGAAUGAGCCUGCGAGUUAGCGGUGUGUAGCGAGGUUAACCCGUGUGGGGAAGCCGUAGCGAAAGCGAGUCCGAAGAGGGCGUUUGAGUUGCACGCUCUAGACCCGAAGCGGAGUGAUCUAGCCAUGGGCAGGUUGAAGCGGCUGUAAGAGGUCGUGGAGGACCGAACCCACCAGGGUUGAAAACCUGGGGGAUGACCUGUGGUUAGGGGUGAAAGGCCAAUCAAACUCCGUGAUAGCUGGUUCUCCCCGAAAUGCAUUUAGGUGCAGCGUCGUGUGUUUCUUGCCGGAGGUAGAGCACUGGAUAGGCGAUGGGCCCUACCGGGUUACUGACCUUAGCCAAACUCCGAAUGCCGGUAAGUGAGAGCGCGGCAGUGAGACUGUGGGGGAUAAGCUCCAUGGUCGAGAGGGAAACAGCCCAGAGCAUCGACUAAGGCCCCUAAGCGUACGCUAAGUGGGAAAGGAUGUGGAGUCGCAGAGACAACCAGGAGGUUGGCUUAGAAGCAGCCACCCUUGAAAGAGUGCGUAAUAGCUCACUGGUCUAGUGAUUCCGCGCCGACAAUGUAGCGGGGCUCAAGCGUACCGCCGAAGUCGUGUCAUUGCAGCAAUACUCCCAACGGAGGCUGUGAUGGGUAGGGGAGCGUCGUGUGCCGGGUGAAGCAGCCGUGGAAGCGAGUUGUGGACGGUUCACGAGUGAGAAUGCAGGCAUGAGUAGCGAUUCACACGUGAGAAACGUGUGCGCCGAUUGACUAAGGGUUCCUGGGUCAAGCUGAUCUGCCCAGGGUAAGUCGGGACCUAAGGCGAGGCCGACAGGCGUAGUCGAUGGAUAACCGGUUGAUAUUCCGGUACCCGCUGUGAAGCGUCAAACAUUGAAUCCAGUGAUGCUAAGCCCGUGAAGCCGUUCCGGACCCUUCGGGGAAUGGAAAGUGGUGGAGCCGGUGG